AACUCCAGUUAGAAUUAAGUUCCCUUACUUGCUACGUGUUGUUUCCCUUGCUACGUGUUGUUUCCCUGUUUGCUGUGAGAUUUAGUUUUCAUUCUACUAUCACACGUGUGCGUUAUCUCUCCACCGAUUCCUAUUUUCCCAAAAACCCACCGCCUCCCGUUCUCUCAUCCACUUUACCGGUCUGCUUGCUUUUCAUUCACACCGGCGAAUCCUUCCCUGCCGCCUCAUUUCUCACUCUUUCAACUCCAUCGAAAUAUCAAAGAUGGUGGGCAGCAAGCCGAUUUCUGAUUCCGGUCGUUCUUUGGUUGUGCUAUUCAUCAUCAGAAAUCGAUUAAGAGAGGGAAACGAUAUUUUCUCCAAUUUCUAUUCACCAUGACCCAUACAAUCGAACGCUGCCGACUCCCCCUUAUCAGAUUCUCCCCACCGCCUCCCUUAUUCGAUAUCUCCAUCCGUGUCGAAUCGGCCUCAUUUCCUCUGCACUUACUACUCCGUCGCAACAACGCAACGAGGACACAGGUAACUUUUUUAUUUUACAAAUUAGAGGUUCAAUUAUUUGUUUUCUUUUUUGGGUUGAUUUUGUUUGUAGAUCAAUUUUACAACUGCAAAGGCAGGAGGAUUUGAAUGGGUUAGUUGGAGACGUUGAGUACAGGUUUGGGAAGUGGAAAGACUCAACAAGGUUACUACUUUUGGAUGAGAAACAUGCCUAUAAGGCGUUCGAUGAAAUGCCUGAUCCGAUUAAGGUAAUUUGGUUUGGGGGGAGACAGAAGGCGAGGGAAAACAGGGAAUAGUGUAGGAGCAGUUUUGAACACCAACUACUUGACAAAAAUCCUCAACGAAAAAUCUGGUCAAGAUUGUGUUUCUACUUGGUAAACUGUAUGAUCGAUCUCUUCUUUUACACCAAAUUACAAUUCUACCCUUCAUAAGUUUUUCAUUAAAGGAUGCACUUGCAACUGCUAAAAAAACUCACUUCAAAUCGCAAGGAACAAUUGAUUAAGCUUCAUAAAUAUUUUCUUAAUAUGAGAGAAUAUAGUGACAAACUUAUACCAACUCCAGACCAAAAAAUGGAGAAACAAUUUGAAGAAUUGAGGGGCAUAUCAGGUAGAUAUGAACAUGACAAGAAAGUUUGGGUGGCUACAGUCAAGGAAGUAGGUAUUGAAACCAUACCACUCCCAGCUCUCUCUUCAAGCACACCACUGUGCUGACUCAGUUCCUUCCUGAUCUCAAUAACAUGGUUUCUGCAGUUCAAGCAAUGGUUGCACAGUGUGAGCAUCUUAAAGUCAAAUACAACAAAGAACAAAUCAAGGGAAGAAAGCUUCAUAAUCAAUUUGAGGAUAUAAAAGUUUCAGGAAACAUGGUCAACCAUGGUUGACUUUGAUUCAUCAUCAAACGGACAUUGCUUCACCAUUGGUGGCUUCACUUUUCUAUGUGUGCAUAUUUCAAUAUGGUGAAACAGAGACAGGAAAGACAUUUACCAUGGAGGGUAUUGAGGGAAAUCGAGGGGUUAGUUACAGAACAGUAGAGGAAUUAUUCAAAAUUGCAAAAGAAAGAAUUGAUACUUUUGCUUAGCAGUGGAACCUACAAUUACAAAUGAUUAUGCACAAGAUUCACCAUCAAAGUUGUCUUCUCCUGGGCCAAAAGUCUGAAACUUCCACAACCUUUAGGAGGCACACAAGAUGAAUCUUCUUCAUCUGAAAACACUCCAACAAUGAUAAUGCGCAUGGGUGUUUCAUCUUCAGGAAAGUUGCCAAGUCCCGGGUGGUAUAUUGCUAAAGAUUUAUGUGGUGUUUAUUUGGCAAAAGAGCAGUUUUCCUUCCAAUAAAUAAAUGAAUAAACUAUGUCGCAUAAUCUAAAUCCGACCCCCGCAAUGGCGGGGGCACUUUUCUAGUUAACUAAUAAGAUAGAAGAAAUGAGAUUGAAGUGACAUGGCGACCAAUGAGAGGUUAACAUACGUCCUCAUUAGAAAAAUGGGUGCGUUUAAAAUCCCUGUUUGGUUGAAGGACCAAGAAGAAUUUAAUCGAAACAUAAGGGGCUAAAAAGGCACAACUAAACAUGAAUUUGAUCAAAGAAUGGCCCAUCUUCGUGCCGCUCUAACCAGCUUAGCUAAUAGGCGUUUUUGUUUUUUGUUUUACAUAUUUACAAAAAAUAUUAAUUUCUGAUGUUGAUAAUAUACACUUUUACAGUUUUUUAGUUUUAUAUCGUUAACAUGGUACUUCCUGUUUA
Lactuca sativa (garden lettuce) is the source of this 2220-nucleotide non-coding RNA. The record is from RefSeq and is a predicted model, not a curated record. Lineage: Eukaryota; Viridiplantae; Streptophyta; Magnoliopsida; Asterales; Asteraceae.